UGGAGAGCUAUGACCCACGUUUGAUAUACCCAGCCCGAUAAAAAACCUAGAAUGCCGAAAGCGUCAAUCUAUCUGUCUCGCGAGACCUAGCUGCGGGGUGCGGGUGGCGGUGAGCUAAGGACGGGCCAGCGGUGAGUUGUAGGCGGGCAGGCCGACGAUGAGGUGCAGGCGGGCAUGCAGGCCGGCGAUGAGCUGCGGGCGAGCGGGCUCCCAGUGAGGACGACUUCGGGCGUGAUGCUGGCGAGGACGAGGGCAGGCGCCCGACCGUCGCGCGGAGUAGUGCGUGCGCCCUACCGCUGGUGAGGAGUGCGGGCGAGCUGCCGUCGAGAAGGUGUGCGGGCGGUCUGCUGACGAAAAGGAAGUGCUCAUCAGCUGGUAAGCAGUGUUUGGGUCAUCUAACAAUUGUCAAUGCCAUUGUUUAGGUUCGUACUGAUAAUUAUUUAACCUCGUACAAUCCACCUCUAGCGGGGCGUCACAUAUGUCUGUGCCAGAGCCAUACUCAGCGCUAAAGAACAGUUUGUUCGUGUACCACUUGGGAAUCAUGUGCGGCUAACUAACAUAAGUGUUUAGUAGCUCUCUGUAUGAACUCUAUUACAGUUUGUUGCAAAUCAAAGUAGAAGUCUCCAAAUUUUGAUACAUAUAAUAGCAGCAAAUGUAGAUGGUAUCUUCAAUUCAAAAUAUGCACUACUUUAGUCUGUUACAGACACAGGAAACACAAUUUGUUCAGUAGAAAAACAAGUUUAGAACAGAUUAUGCAUAAACAUGAGACUACAUUAGCUUUAGCAAAUCACCACAUGGGCCAAUUAAGAUAUUCACAGUUACACACGCGUUGCUCAACUUAUGCAGAAAAUUGUCUUCAAGUCCUAGCUUAUAUUAUUUACAGGUUGAGAAAAUGAGAUAUAAUUCCCUUUUAAGAUAAAUGGGAUGUAAACUUAUGCUUGAAAGGUUUGGUUUGUAUACAAAUAGUUCAUACUUGUCACUAAAUGUACUUGGUAUUGGAGAACAAUAUAAGUGUUGAACGUUGGGUGCUAUAGCGAUAAAGGGCCAUUUGAUUUUUGUGCAAUUCAGCCUCAUUUGAAUGAUGCUUUUAAUUUUUGUGCAAGCUUUGCUGUUGAUGGGGUAUUGUGUUCCUUGUCAACAUCUCACCGAUAUUCUCAUGUUCUUCAUUGUGUUUAUAUUCAUAAUAACUGUCUUAAACUUGUUUAUCUUAUGUCUGUGUUACUCUUCCCUUGUUUGCCUUUUGCUGAUCUUUAUACAGUUGCUUGGGCUAUUUCCUUGCAUUACAUUCUAUAGCGACAUUAGCUAAAACAAUAUUACCUAAAGACUAAUACUAUAAAAGAAUUGGUAGAAGUACCUUCUUAGUUCAGUGUAGCCCAUGUGUUCUCAACUCUUAAAAAAACAGGAGUCUCAUUCCCUGGAGAAUGGAGACCAUGUAUUUGCUCUAGACAUCACUGGAGGGGGAGCAUCUCUGCAACGUGCCUGUUUUAGUCUUCUUAAUCAUCUCAUUUUUCUUAAGUACAUAAAUAUCUGUUGCUACCCAAUGUGAGUCCCAUUCCCUGAGACGAUUGCCUCCACAUAUCAGAAAUGCAGAGUUGGACAUAGGAAGCUCAAAAGCACUGCUCACAUUGAAUAUUGGGCAACGGGAUGUGCAAAGGGUAUAUAAAUUUUAGGAUUGAGCAUUCUAACCAACAAAUCAGCUGCCUAUCGGUGCUCCACCAGGUUGUGUUAAAUGUGUUCGUGGUAAAGAUGGAAUUUGAUGUUGCAUAAUUACUUAUGAGUCUUUAUAUACAUACUAUGGUUACACAAUAUAUCUGUUCAAUAUGACCUUGUGUGGAAACUAAAGAACAUAAUCUGUUGGGAGCUUAUAUUAUUUGGUGGGAGCCACAUGUGCACUCGCCUAUAGGGUGUUCUGAACUAUCAGUUUGUGGUUGUGGUUGGGAUUUAGCCAUUUAGGUGGUGCUCUAAAAUUUACAAGUCUGCCUGAUGAUUCAUAUUGUUUGGUUCAUGGUAGUUUUUGGUGGAGAGUUUGUUAAGGCUUCAUGGUUCAUGGUAGUAUAUGGUGGAGAUUUCGUCAUGUGUGGUGCUCUAUAUGUGAAUCGCAGAGGUCUAUAAAUUAAGGCAACAUGCAGGUACAUUUGAAAUGCAGCAGUAGUGAGUUCCUAUAGAAAAUAAAAAAUGAAAUAAAAGGUCAUAAUGGUCGGAAGUUGUUCACUACAUUAGAACCAUCUAGAAGGGAAAAAAGCUCCCGAGGUCAGGUGUUUCUUAGGAGUUCAAUAUGUUUCAUGUGUGUUUUUGCAAAUCUUUUUUCUUCACUGAUCCUGCACGCUUGAUCAAAAGGAUCUGGUGUCUAUGCCAGGUUGGUAAACCAUAUAGAUCUUGCUCAAACAAGGAGUAGGGCUAGCUUGUAAGCGUUUAUUUCUGGAAAUAUAAAUAGUAGUAAAUUUUGAAGUUCCAUCUGAUUUAGUUAGUUGGAGCAUUCUUUUAUUUUGGGUUGCCCUGUUUCCAUUUUGUUGGAGCAUGUUUUCAUGUUCUAUUUCUUUGUAAUCAUGUGCAUUCGGUACAUAAAUUUAUGCAUUAAUAGACCUUUAUUGCACUUUCAGUUUGUAUUUUCUGUUGGGAGUUUAUAAACCUACUGAUACAAUAAUUGACAAAUUAUAGAAAUAUGCUGCAGGAAGAGGUGCUGAAAGCAAGGAUUUGAGUGCUUGAAGUGCGUGAAAAAAUAUUACUCGCAUGUAUGCUAGCCGUUGGCGUAACACCCAGCUGAUGGAGAGAUUUUAGUUUGCUAGAUGAAUCUUUAGACUUUUGCAUGUAAUAGAACUGAAAGAUCACUUCAGAAUUUAGGAAACAUGUAUGCUAUUAUAUUUUAUAUGUUCAUCACACAAAUCGUGUUCCAAACAAAUAUAUGUUGGAAUCCAAAGUCAAAGAUUGAUAUCUCUCUUUUAGUAAUCAAUUUUCAUAUAUUCUGAG
RNAcentral lists this long non-coding RNA (2967 nucleotides) under Zea mays. Its description in RNAcentral is "long non-coding RNA (ZMAY_LNC003270)". The record is from RNAcentral. Lineage: Eukaryota; Viridiplantae; Streptophyta; Magnoliopsida; Poales; Poaceae.